CGACUGCUAAUACCGCAUACGAUCUAACCUCGGCAUCGAGGAUAGAUGAAAGGUGGCCUCUACAUGUAAGCUAUCACUGAAGGAGGGGAUUGCGUCUGAUUAGCUAGUUGGAGGGGUAACGGCCCACCAAGGCGAUGAUCAGUAGCCGGUCUGAGAGGAUGAACGGCCACAUUGGGACUGAGACACGGCCCAGACUCCUACGGGAGGCAGCAUG
RNAcentral lists this ribosomal RNA (214 nucleotides) under uncultured bacterium. RNAcentral describes it as "partial 16S ribosomal RNA". It matches the Rfam family "Bacterial small subunit ribosomal RNA", at positions 157 to 353 of the family's 1533-position model. The record is from RNAcentral.